AACGGGAACUUAACUCAGUAUUAUAGCGGGGAAAGGUAUAAUUUUGGAGGCAAAAAUUUUGGGUUUUUCUCCCCCAACCAAAAAAGUCUCGAUUUCUCAAGUGUAAAAGUUUUACACUUAGCUCCAACAAAAAAGAAAAAAAAAAAAGCUUUCUCCAAAAUUUCAAUUCAAUCUCAAAGUGUUUGAUUCCAUUGUGAAAUCUGAAUACCCAUUAUUGCAUGAACUCUCGAUUCCCAUUGAAGAAAUUUCGAUUAUCAACACCACAAUCUCCAUCGAUUCUCCACUAUCUGUCUCUGUAUUUCUCCUUCUUUCUCUGCGGUUGUUUCUCAGAUCCGCCACCGUCUCUCUCCUCCGUCGCCAUAUCUCUCUGCCGCUGCCGUCUCUCUCCGUCUCUAUCUCUCUUCGACUCCGUCUCUGUAUCUGUCUCAAUAGCUCAGGCGAUCUCAAGCUCAUUAGCCUCGAACUCAGUAGCUUCUCUGUCUCAAUAGAUCCGUUUCUCUCCUUGUUUGUCUCAGUAGCUUCGAAACCAGCUGAUCUCAUCCACCUGAAAGGUUACAGUGUAUGUUGCCGUGUUCAUGGGUUUAAGCCGUGCUUUUACAUUGCGUGCCCUCAUGAAAUCGGUCCAGACGAUGUUUAUAAAAUCAGUUUCAGUAUUGAGCUACUUUCGAAGAUUUCUGUAGUUUAUUUCCAAGAUCAGAGUUCAUAUUUUGUUUUUUCAGGAAAGAAUGAGGGAAUCCAAUAGAAGUAUCAAGGUCCAAAAAUUUGUUCAUCAUAUAGAACUGGUGCAGAGAAAGAGUAUUAUGUAUUAUCAGCAGCAAAAGUCACAGAACUUUCUCAAAAUCGUUCUUACACUUCCGACAAUGGAGUCUACAUGUCUUGGUAUCCUUCAUAGAGGCAUACAAAUUAGUGGAUUGGGAAUGAAGAGCUUCCAAACAUACGAAAGCCAUGUUCCUUUCGAUCUUCGUUUUAUGAUUGAUUGCAAUAUUGUGGGAGGAAACUGGGGAUUGAAGUGCCCUGUGGGAAAUAUAAAAAGAUGUCAAAACCAUUGCCAUAUUGCCAAUUGGAGUUUGAUUGCUUGUAUCCUCUUUAUGAUACUUUUAUAAUAACACUUCUAGUUUUUGUCAUUAAUUUCCUUAAUAAGGGGUUUUAGAUACUCAGAUUUGGAGAUUUUUUUUUUUGAUACUUGUAUAUUCAUUGGAGAUUUUUUUUUUUUUUUGGUAAUUGGAGAUUCUUAAGAUCGAGAAUCAGUAAAAUAAGCUUUAUAGUAUAUAGUUUUCAUUGUAUAAAUCUUUGUCACAUAUGUACUCUUAUCAUUUGUAUAAAUAAAUAAAACGUUUCCAACAAUUUUCAA
This is a long non-coding RNA of Arabidopsis lyrata subsp. lyrata, 1351 nucleotides long. RefSeq lists it as uncharacterized. NCBI's taxonomy places the organism in Eukaryota, Viridiplantae, Streptophyta, Magnoliopsida, Brassicales, Brassicaceae. The record is from RefSeq and is a predicted model, not a curated record. The transcript has 3 exons.